UACGUAGGGGGCAAGCGUUGUCCGGAUUUAUUGGGCGUAAAGAGCGUGUAGGCGGUUUGGUAGGUCCGUUGUGAAAACUCGAGGCUCAACCUCGAGACGCCGAUGGAAACCAUCAGACUAGAGUCCGGAAGAGGAGAGUGGAAUUCCUGGUGUAGCGGUGAAAUGCGCAGAUAUCAGGAAGAACACCCGUGGCUAAGGCGGCUCUCUAGUACGGUACUGACGCUGAGACGCGAAAGCGUGGGAGCGACAGG
RNAcentral lists this ribosomal RNA (251 nucleotides) under uncultured bacterium. RNAcentral's name for it is "partial 16S ribosomal RNA". It matches the Rfam family "Bacterial small subunit ribosomal RNA", at positions 524 to 775 of the family's 1533-position model. The record is from RNAcentral.